This 460-nucleotide ribosomal RNA is filed under the name uncultured bacterium. RNAcentral's name for it is "partial 16S ribosomal RNA". It matches the Rfam family "Bacterial small subunit ribosomal RNA", at positions 338 to 795 of the family's 1533-position model. The record is from RNAcentral.
CCUACGGGUGGCAGCAGUGAGGAAUAUUGGUCAAUGGUCGCGAGACUGAACCAGCCAAGUAGCGUGCAUGCUGACGGCCCUAUGGGUUGUAAACUGCUUUUAUGCGGGGAUAAAAUGCGUCACGUGUGAUGUUUUGUAGGUCCCGCUUGAAUAAGGACCGCCUAAUUCCGUGCCGGCAGCCGCGGUAAUACGGAGGGUCCGGGCGUUAUCCGGAUUUAUUGGGUUUAAAGGGAGCGUAGGCGGCAUUUUAAGCGUGCCGUGAAAUGCCGUGGCUCAACCAUGGCACGGCGGCGCGAACUGGCUGGCUUGAGUGCGCGGAACGUAUGCGGAAUUCGUGGUGUAGCGGUGAAAUGCUUAGAUAUCACGAAGAACUCCGAUUGCGAAGGCAGCAUACGGCAGCGCUACUGACGCUGAAGCUCGAAGGCGCGGGUAUCGAACAGGAUUAGAUACCCGUGUAGUC